UGCCAGACUCCUACGGGAGGCAGCAGUGAGGAAUAUUGGUCAAUGGGCGAGAGCCUGAACCAGCCAAGUCGCGUGAAGGAUGACGGCCCUACGGGUUGUAAACUUCUUUUGUCAGGGAGCAAUUGAGUCCACGUGUGGUCUUAGCGAGAGUACCUGAAGAAAAAGCAUCGGCUAACUCCGUGCCAGCAGCCGCGGUAAUACGGAGGAUGCGAGCGUUAUCCGGAUUUAUUGGGUUUAAAGGGUGCGUAGGCGGAAUAUCAAGUCAGCGGUAAAAAUUCGGGGCUCAACCCCGUCGUGCCGUUGAAACUGGGGAUCUAGAGUGUGCGAGAGGUAUGCGGAAUGCGUGGUGUAGCGGUGAAAUGCAUAGAUAUCACGCAGAACCCCGAUUGCGAAGGCAGCAUACCGGCGCUCAACUGACGCUGAAGCACGAAGGCGUGGGUAUCGAACAGGAUUAGAUACCCCAGUAAUG
Molecule: ribosomal RNA, 469 nt
Filed under: uncultured bacterium
Lineage: Bacteria
Description: bacterial SSU rRNA
Rfam family: Bacterial small subunit ribosomal RNA
Source: RNAcentral